CUUAGCUCAGUUGGUAGAGCAAUGGACUGAAAAUCCAUGUGUCCCCGGUUCGAAUCCGGG
This 60-nucleotide transfer RNA is filed under the name marine eukaryotic metagenome. It matches the Rfam family "tRNA", at positions 8 to 63 of the family's 71-position model. From Rfam's summary of the family: Transfer RNA (tRNA) molecules are approximately 80 nucleotides in length. Their secondary structure includes four short double-helical elements and three loops (D, anti-codon, and T loops). Further hydrogen bonds mediate the characteristic L-shaped molecular structure. tRNAs have two regions of fundamental functional importance: the anti-codon, which is responsible for specific mRNA codon recognition, and the 3' end, to which the tRNAs corresponding amino acid is attached (by aminoacyl-tRNA synthetases). tRNAs cope with the degeneracy of the genetic code in two manners: having more than one tRNA (with a specific anti-codon) for a particular amino acid; and 'wobble' base-pairing, i.e. permitting non-standard base-pairing at the 3rd anti-codon position. The record is from RNAcentral.